AGUGAACGCUGGCGGUAGGCCUAACACAUGCAAGUCGAACGGCAGCACAGUAAGAGCUUGCUCUUACGGGUGGCGAGUGGCGGACGGGUGAGGAAUACAUCGGAAUCUACUUUUUCGUGGGGGAUAACGUAGGGAAACUUACGCUAAUACCGCAUACGACCUACGGGUGAAAGCAGGGGAUCUUCGGACCUUGCGCGAUUGAAUGAGCCGAUGUCGGAUUAGCUAGUUGGCGGGGUAAAGGCCCACCAAGGCGACGAUCCGUAGCUGGUCUGAGAGGAUGAUCAGCCACACUGGAACUGAGACACGGUCCAGACUCCUACGGGAGGCAGCAGUGGGGAAUAUUGGACAAUGGGCGCAAGCCUGAUCCAGCCAUACCGCGUGGGUGAAGAAGGCCUUCGGGUUGUAAAGCCCUUUUGUUGGGAAAGAAAAGCAGCAGGUUAAGACCCCGCUGUUCGGACGGUACCCAAAGAAUAAGCACCGGCGAACUUCGG
This 491-nucleotide ribosomal RNA is filed under the name uncultured bacterium. RNAcentral describes it as "partial 16S ribosomal RNA". It matches the Rfam family "Bacterial small subunit ribosomal RNA", at positions 29 to 506 of the family's 1533-position model. The record is from RNAcentral.